This 216-nucleotide ribosomal RNA is filed under the name Triticum aestivum (bread wheat). RNAcentral's name for it is "partial small subunit ribosomal RNA". Lineage: Eukaryota; Viridiplantae; Streptophyta; Magnoliopsida; Poales; Poaceae. The record is from RNAcentral.
AUGAAGAUCAUGGGUUGGAAUUGCCGCGGGCUGAAUUCAGGUCGGGCAGUUCGUGCGCUCCUUGAUGUUCAGAAGAAAUCAAAACCGGAUGUGUGUUUCCUGUCUGAGACACAUCUGUCAAAAGCUAAGGCAGAGAAACUUUUGAAGAGAACAAGAUUUGUCCAUCUUUUGGUGAAUGAGAGUGAUGGCGGGAGUGGUGGGUUGCUAAUGAUGUGG